AUGAGGGGUUGGAUGACAGGGGGCCUGAGGGAGGGGAGGCACGCUCAGGGGACCAGCCCACCGGCUCCCCUUGGCCAGCGGAGGAUGUCGGUGGUGGGGGAAGGGCCCGACCAAGGGAGGGGCUCCUGGGUGAGGGGCUUGGCUCGCCCUGAGGGGCAGGAGGCUGAGCGGGUGCUCCGCGGGAAGACGAGCCCAGGGCCCCUCAUGGAGGGGCCCCUCACGGAGGGGGCUCUGCCUGAGCAGCACCGACCCACCCAGCGAGGGGGCUGCGGCGGGCCUGGGGGGAGGGGCUGGCUUGGCGGAGGGGCGCGCGGCAAGUACCGCGGGGGCCGGAGGGCGCCCAGGGGGAGCUGUCCAAGGUGGGCGCGCCGAGGGCUGCGCGGCCGGGGCUCCACGGACUGCGGAGGGGGUCCGGGCGCGGGGGCGGGGGUGAGGGGGGCGCCGGGAGCAGGAGGGCCGAGCCCCGCGGCCGCGAGGGUGGGGCUCGGACAAAGGAGGGGCGCGCGGGGAGAGGGCCCCGCGGGCCUCGCGGGUGGGGUGCGGCAGGGCCCGGCCCCCCGCCCCGGCCGCCUACCUGGGCGCUCGUCCUGCGGCGCCGCCGCGGCUGCUUGCUGGCCGGCUCGUGUCCGCUCGGGCGCCGCCGCCCCCCGCGCGCCCGCCGCCCGCCCGCCCGCCCGCCCGAGCCGCCGCCGCCGCCGCCGCCGCCGCCGCCGCCGCGCCCGCGCCAGUCCCCGCCCGUCCCCGCCCGUCCCCGCCCGCCGGGCGCCGCGCUCCGCCCCUCCCCGGGGACCCGCGCCCGGCCAAGGUCACCGCCGCCCCGACCCCCUGCCCGGCGCCCCGGGGAGUCGCCAGGCCGGGGGCGGGGGAGGGGGGCGCGACGGGGUGGGGUCUGCCUGCCUCUUUGGGAACGCGCCCCAGGGUCACCCUGGAGCCAGGCGCUGGGCAAGAGCGGGGCAGCGUCGCGGUCACCCGGGGAGCAAAGGGAAGGGCCUGUUGGCGGAACUGCAGCUCAGGGCCCGGGUGUGGGUGGGGUCGUGGGCCAGCCUGGGUCCCGGGGCUUUGCUGGGAUGGAGACGUGAUCAGUGGAUAAAGAGAUAUAUGAGAGCACAACGGUGGCCCCAGGGGGCUCCCGGGCAAUGGGGGUGUGCCUGGAGACCACUCCUCCGUCCUAGGGGCUUUGUGUUGGCAGGGGUGGGAGAGGGUGCCAGGAGAGAAGUGAAGACAGCACUAAGUCUGGGUUGGUGCCCCCAAGGGCAACCCACCCAAGGGGAGAGCAGCUGUGAGUCUGGGGGACCAUCUGAAAGUGGGGGUGAACAAAGGGGACUGAGGGGCUGGGGGACUGGGUUUGUGGUUUUGGUUAGGAAAAUAUCUAUCUUCCUCAAAUAG
Molecule: long non-coding RNA, 1386 nt
Filed under: Zalophus californianus (California sea lion)
Lineage: Eukaryota; Metazoa; Chordata; Mammalia; Carnivora; Otariidae
Description: lncRNA (ENSZCAG00015003619.1)
Source: RNAcentral